CGUACUAAAAACUUACUGUAUUUCUAAAUAGCAAAAUACUACCAGUUUGGAUAUUUAACAAUUGAAGGAUUUACAUUAAAUUUGUGGAUUUAAAUAUCUUUGAAGAGAGGAUUUAUAUUCUUUGGACAUACAAAAUUCAUUUUGGAUUUGUGAAUAAUUUGGAUUUAUCACUGAUUGGUUUUAGAUUUGACCAGGACAGUACUUGGGCUAUUUUAGGACACAAGAUUAGAUUUUACGGCUAUUUGACAUUUUAAAGAAAUGGUGACAACCUAUGAUAACUGGAAGUAUUGCAACACCAAUCAUCACACGCAAGGAAGGCAGAUCAAUCAAAUGGUAUUGGUUUGAUGAAAAUGCUUUGGUGUUGAAUGUACUCUUGGUGCGUCAAGUUAAAACAACACAGAAAUAAUUGAAAAUGAACAAGAACAAGAAAGAUAAAUAGGCAGUUUUAAUCUUGAGCCAUGUGAAGACGUCAGCAGACCGAUAACAGCCUGAGUAAUUCCACUGGUAAUUAUCAAGUAAAAGACAAUAACGUGAACGGCGAAGAUGUCGUUGACCAGUGAAUAUGAAACGUUUUUGUCAAUGGUAACGCAAAUAGUGAUUUUUUAGAUGGUGAUUACGAAAGGGUUGAUGAGUUUGUUCAUCAAUGUGUUACUUUACCCGUUGAAGAAAACAACCUAACAAAUAACAGUGUGAUUAUCGAUGAUGAAGUAAAUUUGAUGUGUAAUGCAGUAGAAGAGCUAAGAAAGGAGAGUGAUUUCGAUGACAGUACUGAUUGAGAAUUAGUGAUGAUGAACUGCUUUAUGCAGUGAGCGACGUCAGCCUCAAAUUUGAAGAAACAGGUGUCGGUGAUGUCAGUAAUGAUGAUUAAAUAGAAAGUGAUCAGAGUAUACGUGAUGAUAAAACAGAUGGAGGCAUAAGUGACGUAUUAUGAUGACGUCAGUGAUAACGAUGCAAAAGAAAGUGAUAAAAUAGGAAGAUAUGAAUAGGAAAUAGACAGUGAUGAUAUGACAGAUGAUGGUGGCAAUGCGACCGCCGGUAUCAAAAGUAAUAUUAGUAUAUCACAGUAAGUUCCGAGAUUGAAGACGGAUGGGAUCAAACGGCGCUGACACAUUCGAAAAUAAUUACAAAAUGUGAGAUCCAUACAGUAAUUGCCAUCAAAAACUUACUUAAAUGUAACCUUGUUGGUCUAAGCGCAGACCUUGAACAGGAUUAUUACGAACUCACAUUUCAGGCAAAUUAUUAUGUUACUUUAUAUAUCAUGGUUUGAACUCAAGGGUGGAGUGUCCUGAAAUCACAAAUAUUGUGUGGAUUUAGUGAGUUUAUCAGUUAAAAUAGUGUUUGUGUUAUUAUUUGGGUAAGAUAACUCACUAUAAAAGAUCAUACAUGUGUUCUAAGUACCUGAUAUUACUUUGCUCCUACAUGUUCUUGUAUGCUCCUAAAUACUGUAUUAUCAUAGGUCAAUGAGGAGGUCAUAGUUCAACCACAAAAUGAAAAUUUUACAAACAUCUUACAAAUCUUUUCUAGCAAAAAUCUUGAAAUUCAGCAGCAUAACAAUUUCCCUGUGUAAUUAUAUAGUUUAUAUAGGAUUUUGAUUUGGUAGGUUUGGUAGAACUCUUCCAUACCUCAUGUUUUUAUUUCUAUGUAAAUGAGAUGUGGAACCAAAAUUUGUAGUCCUGUUUGGCGCCAUGUAACCUAUACUGUGUUGGUGCGCCGUAAAACCUAAAUAAAUAAAUAAAUUUG
Long non-coding RNA from Mercenaria mercenaria, 1740 nucleotides. RefSeq lists it as uncharacterized. NCBI's taxonomy places the organism in Eukaryota, Metazoa, Mollusca, Bivalvia, Venerida, Veneridae. The transcript has 3 exons. The record is from RefSeq and is a predicted model, not a curated record.